CGUUUUUUUUUAAUUUGUGCGCCGAAUUUGCUGAGACUGCUUGCAUUUUUACCACUGGACAAAGACUGAUUACUUCUAUACAAUAAUAAUAAGGACAAGUGCUUGUGGCAGCUGUCUUCUCUGAACAGCAGUCUCGUGAACACCGUACUGUUUCGGCCUCAGUACACUGAAGAUCUAAGAAAACACUAAACACCCUA
Sinocyclocheilus anshuiensis is the source of this 197-nucleotide long non-coding RNA. RefSeq lists it as uncharacterized. NCBI's taxonomy places the organism in Eukaryota, Metazoa, Chordata, Actinopteri, Cypriniformes, Cyprinidae. The record is from RefSeq and is a predicted model, not a curated record. The transcript is spliced from 3 exons.